RNAcentral lists this ribosomal RNA (304 nucleotides) under uncultured bacterium. Its description in RNAcentral is "partial 16S ribosomal RNA". It matches the Rfam family "Bacterial small subunit ribosomal RNA", at positions 506 to 809 of the family's 1533-position model. The record is from RNAcentral.
CAGCAGCAGCCGCGGGAAUACAGAGGGUGCAAGCGUUAAUCGGAAUUACUGGGCGUAAAGCGCGCGUAGGUGGUUUGUUAAGUUGGAUGUGAAAUCCCCGGGCUCAACCUGGGAACUGCAUCCAAAACUGGCAAGCUAUAGUAUGGUAGAGGGUGGUGGAAUUUCCUGUGUAGCGGUGAAAUGCGUAGAUAUAGGAAGGAACACCAGUGGCGAAGGCGACCACCUGGACUGAUACUGACACUGAGGUGCGAAAGCGUGGGGAGCAAACAGGAUUAGAUACCCCCGUAGUCCCUGUCUCUUAUAA